AUGUGUCAGUACAGGCCGCUCUAAGGCGAAACCGCGAAUGGCUCAUUAAAUCAGUUAUCAUUCAUUUGAUCCAAACCUACUACUCGGAUAACCCUGGUAAUUCUAGAGCUAAUACGUGACUUAUACAACUCCGACUGGAAGGGAGGAGUGCUUUUAUUAGUUGAAAACCAAGCGGGCCUCGGUCCGUUCAGUUUACUGUGAUGACUCUGAAUAACUUUGUGCAGAGAGCACGGUCUCCGCACCGGCUCCGUAUCUUUCGAGUUUCUGCCUUAUCAUGCUGUGGAUUGUAGGCCAUGCGCCUACAGUGGCUGUUACGGGUGACGGAGAAUCAGGGUUCGAUUCCGGAGAGGGAGCCUGAGAAACGGCUACCACAUCCAAGGAAGGCAGCAGGCACGCAAAUUACCCAAUCCCAGCUCUGGGAGGUAGUGACGAAAAAUAACAAUGCGGGACUCUUCCGAGUCUGCGUAAUUGGAAUGAGCACACUUUAAAUCCUUUAGCAACAACCAAUUGGAGGGCAAGUCUGGUGCCAGCAGCCGCGGUAAUUCCAGCUCCAAUAGCGUAUAUUAAAGUUGUUGCGGUUAAAAAGCUCGUAGUUCGAGCUCAGUUCCGGACUGGCCGGGGAGGUCACCGCCCGGUGCUUCCCCGUCAGGCUCCGAACAGCUUCCGUGAGUGGAAGCCAAGCCGGUUCUGCCGGGGUGCUCUUUACCGAGUGUCCCGCGCGGCCGGCCAGUUCACCUUGAAUAAAUGAGAGUGCUCAAAGCAGGCUACUCUCGAAUACAAUGCCCGAAUGUUACCUGCAUGGAAUGAUGGAAGAUGAUCUCGGUUCCAUUUUCUUGGUGGUGGGAGCCAGAGGUAAUGAUAAACAGGGACUGUCGGGGGCAUCCGUACUACGACGCGAGAGGUGAAAUUCAGUGACCGUCGUAGGACGAACAACAGCGAAAGCAUUUGCCAAGAAUGUCUUCGUUGAUCAAGAACGAAAGUUAGAGGAUCGAAGGCGAUCAGAUACCGCCCUAGUUCUAACCCUAAACGAUGCUGACUAGCAAUUCGCCGUCGUUAUUCCCAUGACGUGGCGAGACGCCCCCGGGAAACCUCAAGUCUUUGAGUUCCGGGGGUAGUAUGGUUGCAAAACUGAAACUUAAAGGAAUUGACGGAAGGGCACCACCAGGAGUGGAGCCUGCGGCUUAAUUUGACUCAACACGGGAAACCUCACCAGGCCCGGACACCAGAAGGAUUGACAGAUUAAGAGCUCUUUCUCGAUUUGGUGGGUGGUGGUGCAUG
Molecule: ribosomal RNA, 1278 nt
Filed under: Palaemon sinensis
Lineage: Eukaryota; Metazoa; Arthropoda; Malacostraca; Decapoda; Palaemonidae
Description: SSU rRNA
Rfam family: Eukaryotic small subunit ribosomal RNA
Source: RNAcentral